GAGUUCGGCUGCCGAACUUAGUAUUGAGUAUGCCUAUCAGAACUUAGUUUUGCUAUUGCCCAGUUGAACUCAAAGUUGAGGGCUGCCACCGAAGUGCUGUUUUGAACCAAAACUACUUAAUUUUGAGUUUAAAAAAAGGAGCGUGAGUGCAAACAAAAUAAAAAUAACACUUUCUACGACAAUACGACGGGUCGAAUCCUUCAGGCAUCUGGAUGAAAAACAUCAUUUUCGGCAAUCUAGUCUGCUGUCUGGAUGUCUUCACCGAAAUCGAACGAUUAUCUUGAUCGCUUUCAGCCAAAAAACAAUCAUUAUCAGCUGCAAGCCUCUCCGGCACAGUCUAGUGAAGCCUCCCUGAAAGAGGCUCGAACUACCUUCAUUCAACAUCGCUCGCAGGCUUCCGAACAGGCACAGGACAAGAAAUGCAGACUGGGUUGCAACAUACAACACGGUGGCGAAGUGGUGCUAGAAUUUAUCGAUUACAAGGCCCACUAGCGAGAGGAUUGUGUUCGUUAGGUUCCAUCCGAAUGAUGGGGAAAAGCUGUACCAGUAAAGGACGAAUCACUCGAUCUACUCCCGGGCGAAGCGGACAGUAUUUUCAGCUACGAAAGCCUGCCGAAGAAGCACUAGUAAAAGUACAUGUACGCAGCUCGAUUUGUCCAGAUAGUCCGGGUGAUGACCCCGAACGACUACAGCGAUCGGGCCAAGUUCCAGCUGAUGGAAGCACACAAAAAUUCGAAGCAUGUUUUCGUAGUGGUAAAAAUGGACAAAAAUUGUAAUAUCCAAUCAUGAAAGAACGAACAGAUAGCAACGGAUCUACAGUGAAAUCUCCGGAAUGAACUCUGCUUGCGAACGGCCGUACCAGUGACGUGCUGUAUUCAAAAUAAUCAUGACAGCGCCAAUUUUCUCGACAUUCAGUUCUCUUUUAGUGGCUCCGGAGGAUCAGCCUUUGAAGUUGAACCGGUUCUUGAUAUUGUAUUCGUUAUUUUAUAUUCGCCUUGAUAAUUGAUUCUGACCAUUACACCUAUGCGUGUAGACCAGGCCGACAUUUCAUUUACUAAACUAAAAAUUGUAAAAAUGAACAUAGAUACAAAUUUAAAA
Molecule: long non-coding RNA, 1098 nt
Organism: Uranotaenia lowii
Lineage: Eukaryota; Metazoa; Arthropoda; Insecta; Diptera; Culicidae
Exons: 3
Source: RefSeq, a predicted model, not a curated record